ACGCUUUGCCUUGCCCAGGGCGCCAUUUCCAAAUCUUCGAAAGCUCCGUUCCCGUUUCAAAAUCUCCCGUGAUCCCCAACGCGCCUCGCCUCCCAUCCCCCGAAAUUCCCCACCCAAAAACCCUACCGCGGCGAGAUGCCGCCGGAGCCGGACUCCGCGGCGGGCCUCGCGGCGGCCGUCCUCGCCGCGUCCACCCCGCGCGCCGCGGCGGAGGCGGUCUCCUCGGUCGCGGCCUUCCUCCGCCGCCACCACGCGGACCAGCCGCGCGCCUUCUUCGCCGACGCGCUGCCCGCGCUGCUCUUCCGCCUCUUCGUCUCCCGCGCCCCCGACUCGCCGCCGUGCUUCCUCGACCUCGCCGCGCACGACCCCGCGCUCGCCUACCUCCUCGAGUCGCUCCUCGCGCCCUCGGGCCCGCUCCUCGCCGCCAUCUCCGCCGCGGACCGCCACGCCCUCCUCCGCUUCACCUUCCCGCGCGAGCGGCUCCCCGACUGGCUCGGCUUCGCGCUAUCCUCCUCCGAUCAGGUGAUCUCGCCGCUCCUCGCCGGCCGCGUCGGCUCCAAGCUCCACCUCUCCGUCUUCGAGUACUACCUCUUCUGGUUCGCGUACCACCCCAUCCCCGCCACCACCUCUGCCAAUCCAUCCCCCGGCCCCUCAAAACCACCGCCCUCCACCUGGAAACCCUCGCUGAAACCGCGCGCCCGCCUCGAGAGCUGGGUGUCCACCAUCGCCCCCACGGCGGGCCGCAACCCCGACUCCAAACCGCACACAUCGCUCUACCUCAACCUUCUCCACGCCUACCUCAAGGAGUUCGUGCCCAGCGACUGCGCCCCGCCCCGCGGCACACUGCUGCACCAGAAUUCCCGACACGGCGUGGACGCAGCCGAAUCGUUCAGGCGAGUCGAGUUCCUCGUGCACACGCUCGUGCAGUUCUGGCUGGUCGGGAACGAUUUCUCGCCGCUGCCCGUGCAGACCUCCCGCGCCUACGGGCUGCCUUUGCUCUCUCUCCUCUCCCGUGCAAACACCACACUCUCCGACAGGCUGCCGGCGCCAGGGCUCGGCAAUGCCGUGAAGCUGCUGGUGAUGUAUCUGAACAGCAGCAGCGGUGUUCCAGAUGUGCGCAAUGUGUUCGACGCAAUGCUCUCGAGGAAGAAGCCAUGUGAGAGCCCAGCUGGGUACUGGAAUCCGUUGCUGCAGAGGCCGCUGUAUCGGUUUACGCUGAGGACGUUCCUGUUCUGCCCGAUGGGCGCAGAUAUCGAAAACGUUGCACAGGCUUUUUCUGCAUGGAUGGUCUACAUGGAACCAUGGAAGGUUCAGCAAGGUGAUUUCAAUGAGUACGAUCUGCCACCUCCUGGUGGGCGAAAUGUGCAUUGCGUUGGUGAUGGGAAGAGGCUAAACUGUGAUGCAGAGUACUCCCCGGCAUGGCAGGGCUACGUGCUAUCCAACUAUCUGUUCUACAGCUCACUGGUUGUCCAUUUCCUGCGGUUCGCUCAUAAGUUUAUCCAUUCUGAUGUCGCCUCAGUGCUGCAAAUGGUAUCAAAGGUACUGCAAGUUUUGGGUUCCUCGGAAUUAUUGGGGCUUAUCUACAAAGUUGAUGCUGCUUAUCAUUCCAAUCUUUCUGAUUCCCAGUCCUGUUGUUUGGAUGAUGUGCUCAAGUAUUUACCAGCUAUCCGUGAGCAACUACAGGACUGGGAGGAUGGGUUAUCGAAACACAACACUGAUGUGUCUUUCUUGCAUGUGGAGAGGAACUCUAACCUAAGGCUUUUCAGUUUCGAUGAUAAUGGGGCUUACAACUUGCUUAAGUUGCUGUUGCUAAGGGCUGAAUCGGAGAUUCAAGGUUUACCAGGUGAUGCUAUGAUAACUCUCCAGACUCUGGAUGUAAUCAAAUCCAAUAUGAAAAAGGUAUUCUACAAGCAUGUUGAAAGCUCCCAGGCAAACAAUCUUCCAGAGGGAGAACACAACCAGCAUCAUGUACGUGGUGAUGUAUUCAUACCUAAGCAUCCAAGUCCAGGGAAAAGCUCACUGGCUGAUAUGAAAAAUAAUGGUGAUUGGAUGACGAGGCCCAUCUCAGACACUGAAGUGGCCUGGCUUGCAAGGAGGCUGAUCUGCUUUUCAUCUUGGCUGAAUGAAACCCUUCAACUUAAACAUGCUGUCACAGAUGUUGCCCCCACAGGCCCAAUUAUCAUCAAGGUUGACCAAAAUGAACCGAGCAGAGUUGGAGGCCCAAAGGAUGCUGCCAGAAUGGUGCUUGUUGGUGUCUUUACAUUGUUCAUGGUGGUGGGACAAUGGAUCCUGCGGUUCAUGAGGAUGCACAGGAUUAGGAUCAAUCUCAGAAUUCUUGCCUCCAAAAAGCUCCUGGCACUUGCUGUGCUGUACAUGGUGUACAGUAUAGCAAAGAAUAUGCUUUCUUGAGCUCUGCAUCUCACUGCUGGUGUUGCUUUGCCAGUAAUUGCUCAAACUUCCAAGUUAUGCCUUGAGUAGAGCUGUAGAGGUGUUACAUACGCUGUACAGUAAUUCAUAGGAGAAAAACUUCAGAGGACACUUUCGCAACUCUUUCAAACUUGUUUGGUUAUCUUGUGCAUAUCAUUGAGAUCCCAUUGGAAGUCUGAAGAAUGUUGUUUCAUGCUUGCUGGUGAACAAUUGACUAAACCUAUAGGAGUGGUGUUUUCAUAUUACCUGGCUGGAAACCAGAUUUCUUCUUCGUUUCAAGCUGAAUCAAUUAGGUCCGAACGAGAGGAAAAUAGGAGGAGAAGGCCUGUUUUUUUUUCCAAAGGUAUCACAUGGAUGCAUAUGUCUUGUCUUGUGAAGCAUCUCAUGAUGGCAAGUGAAAGCUAGCUAAGCCAUCAGCAUCUGCUGCAGCACCCAUAUGAUGAGCUUCCUUUCCAACAGUAAACAACUGUUAAGGCUGCAUCCGAGUCACGAUCUCCUUCUCCUCUACUACUUUGCACCGGAGAGAUGCAUGCAGAUGCAAUGGUCAAGCAAGACACACAAGUAAGCGUACUACCUGGGGGCCUUGCUGCUGCUUUAUUCCUUGCUUGUAGCCGUAGCACUGUGCUCCUCGCCCCUUUGCUCUACGGAUUUGCCCCUUUCGCCCUGAAAGCAACUGAGCUAGAGUCAAUUACCAAAAGAAAAUAAAAAAUGCACCCUUUUGUUGUUGCCUAGUCAUUGUUAACAACUUUGAGUUUGGCACUGUUUCUUUUUUUCCCUCAGAGGUUCACAUCCCGGGGGCCAACUGACAUGUAUAUGUGCAUAUGUAGGAACAUUUGGGCAUCAUUAGAUUGAGAUUCGUACGUUUCUAAACCACCUUGGAUUGAUGUGCAUUUGGUCAAGCUAGCUACACUACAUAGAUAGCUAGCAUAUUAGUAGUGAUAACCAGGCAUCCUCAAUUGUAGCCACAACAUACAAGCUAGCUAGCCAGUACUAUGCGAUAUGCUUCCAUCAUCAUGUUGUUAUGAUCAGCUUUAUUUUAGUGUAUUUGCUUUGCGCCAAGAUGUUUUUUUAGACCCUCUUGCACAUCCAUUGCGAAAUUGCGUCGUGGUGUAGCAUAUGCCCUACUUACGGGCAAUAAGUAGGCCAUGAUGAGGUUAGCAAUCGAUCACAACUUUGCAACGAACAAACACUACCAUUUCAAAGAUUUGCUUUUGAUCGAUCUCUGCUCCCAGGGUUCUCGCUUUGCAUUCAUGAGUAGUGUGUGCGUGCUUGAUGGGACUCCAGUGUGCAUGCAAUUUCUCGAUGCAAAACCCCAUCUGCAAGAUUUUGCUGUCGCUUCCGUGCAAUCUCGCGGAAAGGGAUGGGGCGGCAUGUCAGUCUCUUAUAUCAAUAACAGGACAAAUCAAUUAGGCCAUGGACUGAAUCACGUACUAAUAGUACGUACUAUAGUGCAUAUAAUUGCCUGUACCAUGUAGUAGAGGGGUAGCUUUUGUUAAUCGUGACGCGAUCAGGUCCUGGAAAAAUUAAUCGUACACGCGGACCAAUUGAAGCUUUAUGCUUGUAUAGUACUGGUACGUCAGUAACCAUCUGCUAAUUAAUUGGCGUUGGUUGAGGCCAUGCUUUCGGUAAACUAACUGAUCGCUCGCUCCCUAAUUAACACGGCCUAGAUGACACCUCAUUUUCUCCUUUCUGCCUAGAUCUAGGGAUUAUUAGACGGUGAGAGCAUGCCAGACGGUAACAGGCAGGGGCGAUUAGCACUUGGUAGCAACAU
This is an RNA transcript of Lolium perenne, 4198 nucleotides long. RefSeq lists it as uncharacterized. NCBI's taxonomy places the organism in Eukaryota, Viridiplantae, Streptophyta, Magnoliopsida, Poales, Poaceae. The record is from RefSeq and is a predicted model, not a curated record.